This 540-nucleotide small RNA is filed under the name Pan troglodytes (chimpanzee). RNAcentral's name for it is "retained intron". Lineage: Eukaryota; Metazoa; Chordata; Mammalia; Primates; Hominidae. The record is from RNAcentral.
UGAGCUGCACCGAGACCUCGCAGGCCCCGGGAACUGUCGCCCUUCCACGAUGUGGCUCCGUGCCUUUAUCCUGGCCACUCUCUCUGCUUCCGCGGCUUGGGGUGAUGGUGUGGAUCCACGGAGGGGGGCUGAUGGUGGGUGCGGCAUCAACCUAUGAUGGGCUGGCCCUUGCUGCCCAUGAAAACGUGGUGGUGGUGACCAUUCAAUAUCGCCUGGGCAUCUGGGGAUUCUUCAGCACAGGGGAUGAACACAGCCCGGGGAACUGGGGUCACCUGGACCAGCUGGCUGCCCUGCGCUGGGUCCAGGACAACAUUGCCAGCUUUGGAGGGAACCCAGGCUCUGUGACCAUCUUUGGAGAGUCAGCGGGAGGAGAAAGUGUCUCUGUUCUUGUUUUGUCUCCAUUGGCCAAGAACCUCUUCCACCGGGCCAUUUCUGAGAGUGGCGUGGCCCUCACUUCUGUUCUGGUGAAGAAAGGUGAUGUCAAGCCCUUGGCUAAGGUAGGUCUCCGGCUGGUACCUCUCCGGCUGGACACCCACACCC